GGGUUGUGAGGUUAAGCGACUAAGCGUACACGGUGGAUGCCCUGGCAGUCAGAGGCGAUGAAGGGCGUGCUAAUCUGCGAUAAGCGCCGGUAAGGUGAUAUGAACCGUUAUAACCGGCGAUACCCGAAUGGGGAAACCCAGUGUGAUUCGUCACACUAUCAUUAACUGAAUCCAUAGGUUAAUGAGGCGAACCGGGGGAACUGAAACAUCUAAGUACCCCGAGGAAAAGAAAUCAACCGAGAUUCCCCCAGUAGCGGCGAGCGAACGGGGAGGAGCCCAGAGCCUGAAUCAGCAUGUGUGUUAGUGGAAGCGUCUGGAAAGGCGCGCGAUACAGGGUGACAGCCCCGUACACAAAAGCGCAUGUGCUGUGAGCUCGAUGAGUAGGGCGGGACACGUGGUAUCCUGUCUGAAUAUGGGGGGACCAUCCUCCAAGGCUAAAUACUCCUGACUGACCGAUAGUGAACCAGUACCGUGAGGGAAAGGCGAAAAGAACCCCGGCGAGGGGAGUGAAAAAGAACCUGAAACCGUGUACGUACAAGCAGUGGGAGCNNNNNNNNNNNNNNNNNNNNNNNNNNNNNNNNNNNNNNNNNNNNNNNNNNGGGCGUUAAGUUGCAGGGUAUAGACCCGAAACCCGGUGAUCUAGCCAUGGGCAGGUUGAAGGUUGGGUAACACUAACUGGAGGACCGAACCGACUAAUGUUGAAAAAUUAGCGGAUGACCUGUGGCUGGGGGUGAAAGGCCAAUCAAACCGGGAGAUAGCUGGUUCUCCCCGAAAGCUAUUUAGGUAGCGCCUCGUGAAUUCAUCUCCGGGGGUAGAGCACUGUUUCGGCUAGGGGGCCAUCCCGGCUUACCAACCCGAUGCAAACUGCGAAUACCGGAGAAUGUUAUCACGGGAGACACACGGCGGGUGCUAACGUCCGUCGUGAAGAGGGAAACAACCCAGACCGCCAGCUAAGGUCCCAAAGUCAUGGUUAAGUGGGAAACGAUGUGGGAAGGCCCAGACAGCCAGGAUGUUGGCUUAGAAGCAGCCAUCAUUUAAAGAAAGCGUAAUAGCUCACUGGUCGAGUCGGCCUGCGCGGAAGAUGUAACGGGGCUAAACCAUGCACCGAAGCUGCGGCAGCGACACUGUGUGUUGUUGGGUAGGGGAGCGUUCUGUAAGCCUGUGAAGGUGUGUCGUGAGGCAUGCUGGAGGUAUCAGAAGUGCGAAUGCUGACAUAAGUAACGAUAAAGCGGGUGAAAAGCCCGCUCGCCGGAAGACCAAGGGUUCCUGUCCAACGUUAAUCGGGGCAGGGUGAGUCGACCCCUAAGGCGAGGCCGAAAGGCGUAGUCGAUGGGAAACGGGUUAAUAUUCCCGUACUUGGUGUUACUGCGAAGGGGGGACGGAGAAGGCUAUGUUGGCCGGGCGACGGUUGUCCCGGUUUAAGCGUGUAGGUGUGUGUUCCAGGUAAAUCCGGUUCACUUUAACACUGAGGCGUGACGACGAGGCACUACGGUGCUGAAGCAACAAAUGCCCUGCUUCCAGGAAAAGCCUCUAAGCAUCAGGUAACAUCAAAUCGUACCCCAAACCGACACAGGUGGUCAGGUAGAGAAUACCAAGGCGCUUGAGAGAACUCGGGUGAAGGAACUAGGCAAAAUGGUGCCGUAACUUCGGGAGAAGGCACGCUGACACGUAGGUGAAGUGAUUUACUCAUGGAGCUGAAGUCAGUCGAAGAUACCAGCUGGCUGCAACUGUUUAUUAAAAACACAGCACUGUGCAAACACGAAAGUGGACGUAUACGGUGUGACGCCUGCCCGGUGCCGGAAGGUUAAUUGAUGGGGUCAGCGCAAGCGAAGCUCCUGAUCGAAGCCCCGGUAAACGGCGGCCGUAACUAUAACGGUCCUAAGGUAGCGAAAUUCCUUGUCGGGUAAGUUCCGACCUGCACGAAUGGCGUAAUGAUGGCCAGGCUGUCUCCACCCGAGACUCAGUGAAAUUGAACUCGCUGUGAAGAUGCAGUGUACCCGCGGCAAGACGGAAAGACCCCGUGAACCUUUACUAUAGCUUGACACUGAACAUUGAGCCUUGAUGUGUAGGAUAGGUGGGAGGCUUUGAAGUGUGGACGCCAGUCUGCAUGGAGCCGACCUUGAAAUACCACCCUUUAAUGUUUGAUGUUCUAACGUGGACCCGUUACCCGGGUUGCGGACAGUGUCUGGUGGGUAGUUUGACUGGGGCGGUCUCCUCCUAAAGAGUAACGGAGGAGCACGAAGGUUGGCUAAUCCUGGUCGGACAUCAGGAGGUUAGUGCAAUGGCAUAAGCCAGCUUGACUGCGAGCGUGACGGCGCGAGCAGGUGCGAAAGCAGGUCAUAGUGAUCCGGUGGUUCUGAAUGGAAGGGCCAUCGCUCAACGGAUAAAAGGUACUCCGGGGAUAACAGGCUGAUACCGCCCAAGAGUUCAUAUCGACGGCGGUGUUUGGCACCUCGAUGUCGGCUCAUCACAUCCUGGGGCUGAAGUAGGUCCCAAGGGUAUGGCUGUUCGCCAUUUAAAGUGGUACGCGAGCUGGGUUUAGAACGUCGUGAGACAGUUCGGUCCCUAUCUGCCGUGGGCGCUGGAGAACUGAGGGGGGCUGCUCCUAGUACGAGAGGACCGGAGUGGACGCAUCACUGGUGUUCGGGUUGUCAUGCCAAUGGCACUGCCCGGUAGCUAAAUGCGGAAGAGAUAAGUGCUGAAAGCAUCUAAGCACGAAACUUGCCCCGAGAUGAGUUCUCCCUGAGACUUAGAGUCUCCUGAAGGAACGUUGAAGACGACGACGUUGAUAGGCCGGGUGUGUAAGCGCAGCGAUGCGUUGAGCUAACCGGUACUAAUGAACCGUGAGGCUUAACCUUACAACGCCGAAG
RNAcentral lists this ribosomal RNA (2870 nucleotides) under Salmonella enterica subsp. enterica serovar Enteritidis. RNAcentral's name for it is "bacterial LSU rRNA". It matches the Rfam family "Bacterial large subunit ribosomal RNA". The record is from RNAcentral. Lineage: Bacteria; Pseudomonadati; Pseudomonadota; Gammaproteobacteria; Enterobacterales; Enterobacteriaceae.